GGAGAGGUGUCCGAGUGGUUGAAGGAGCACGCUUGGAAAGCGUGUGGGUGCAGAAAUGUGUCUCCAGGGUUCGAAUCCCUGCCUCUCCG
RNAcentral lists this transfer RNA (89 nucleotides) under Candidatus Omnitrophota bacterium. RNAcentral's name for it is "tRNA-Ser". It matches the Rfam family "tRNA". From Rfam's summary of the family: Transfer RNA (tRNA) molecules are approximately 80 nucleotides in length. Their secondary structure includes four short double-helical elements and three loops (D, anti-codon, and T loops). Further hydrogen bonds mediate the characteristic L-shaped molecular structure. tRNAs have two regions of fundamental functional importance: the anti-codon, which is responsible for specific mRNA codon recognition, and the 3' end, to which the tRNAs corresponding amino acid is attached (by aminoacyl-tRNA synthetases). tRNAs cope with the degeneracy of the genetic code in two manners: having more than one tRNA (with a specific anti-codon) for a particular amino acid; and 'wobble' base-pairing, i.e. permitting non-standard base-pairing at the 3rd anti-codon position. Lineage: Bacteria; Pseudomonadati; Candidatus Omnitrophota. The record is from RNAcentral.